Molecule: non-coding RNA, 325 nt
Organism: Biomphalaria pfeifferi
Lineage: Eukaryota; Metazoa; Mollusca; Gastropoda; Planorbidae
Source: the annotation of a GenBank genome assembly
AAUUCGCAAGGAAAGAGGGCAGGCCCAAACAAACCUGGAAGAGGUCAGUCAUCAGUGAAGCAGAGAAUACUGGAAUGACAUGGAAGCAGAUAAAGAAAGCUGCUCAGAACUGAGUUCGGUGGAGAGGUGUGGUUGCGGACCUAUGCUCUCUUGCGAGUGCACAGGAUUAAUUCAGUCCAUAAUCUACUUUUAGAUAAAUCUUCAGCCAUGCUCCAACCUCUCAUGCCUCUCUGUUGGCCGAUUUGGCACAUUUUCUAAACUAAAGUUAUGCUUGGAGGACAGAUUUUCAGCUAAAGAUGAUGCUAUCAUUUUUGUAAACAAAAAA